AGAGUUUGAUCAUGGCUCAGGAUGAACGCUAGCGGAGGCCUAACACAUGCAAGCCGAGCGGUAGAGAUUCUUCGGAAUCUUGAGAGCGGCGUACGGGUGCGGAACACGUGUGCAACCUACCUUUAUCUGGAGGAUAGCCUUUCGAAAGGAAGAUUAAUACUCCAUAAUAUAUUGAUUGGCAUCAAUUGAUAUUGAAAGCUCCAGCGGAUAGAGAUGGGCACGCGCAAGAUUAGUUAGUUGGUGAGGUAACGGCUCACCAAGACGAUGAUCUUUAGGGGCCUGAGAGGGUGAUCCCCCACACUGGUACUGAGACACGGACCAGACUCCUACGGGAGGCAGCAGUGAGGAAUAUUGGUCAAUGGGUGCAAGCCUGAACCAGCCAUCCCGCGUGAAGGACGACUGCCCUAUGGGUUGUAAACUUCUUUUGUAUAGGGAUAAACCUACCCUCGUGAGGGUAGCUGAAGGUACUAUACGAAUAAGCACCGGCUAACUCCGUG
Molecule: ribosomal RNA, 497 nt
Filed under: uncultured bacterium
Lineage: Bacteria
Description: bacterial SSU rRNA
Rfam family: Bacterial small subunit ribosomal RNA
Source: RNAcentral